UGUAGGGAAUAUUAUAAAAGACCGAAUUUUCUGGCAGCUUGUGAUCAAGGCUUUGAUACACCAGACAUGCUGCCACAGGAGGAGGAAGG
Pseudophryne corroboree (corroboree frog) is the source of this 89-nucleotide long non-coding RNA. RefSeq lists it as uncharacterized. The transcript has 3 exons. NCBI's taxonomy places the organism in Eukaryota, Metazoa, Chordata, Amphibia, Anura, Myobatrachidae. The record is from RefSeq and is a predicted model, not a curated record.